RNAcentral lists this long non-coding RNA (2074 nucleotides) under Diabrotica virgifera virgifera (western corn rootworm). RNAcentral's name for it is "uncharacterized LOC126880487". Lineage: Eukaryota; Metazoa; Arthropoda; Insecta; Coleoptera; Chrysomelidae. The record is from RNAcentral.
UUGGUGUGUUAACAUUUAUCAGUCUCGAUUGAAAUUUUGAAAGAUACGUUACUUUCGUGCUUGAAUGCCUUUUUGGUUCAGUUAAUUUAUAUUUCAAGUCCGUAAUACGUUCUGUUCAAAAACCUAUAGAAAAAUGUGCUAUAUAGUUAACAUAUAUAAAGAUAAAUUCAAUGUGCAUAAAAAGUUAACAAAGGGAUUGGGUGUGGCAAGGUGAUAAUCAAUAAAUCGGUUAGGAAAUUUCAUGAAGAUGACGUGGAGUCCAUUUUGAAAUCAAAUUGGGAUUUCAAAAUGGGGGAAAUCAACAACGAUGGAAUUUUGUGCCAAAAUGUUAAAAAACUUCUGCACCAAAAAUUUCAACUGCAGUCAAUCGAUUUCUGAAUUGAAAUGAAAAUUAUGGCGAAUGUACGGAUACGGUGUCGCCCCCUACCAAAACCACUUGAAACUUUAGUAUUUUGUUUAAGGCACAACAAACAGAACAAUAAUAAUAGGAAAUUGGCAAUGAAUUUAAUAGCAAAUGGCAGUUUCCACAUUGUCUAGGAGCUAUGGAUGGAAAACGUGAAAUUUCAACCUCUCAGAAGGGAUGGGACGAAAUUAUGAACUGACAGCAUCAGAUGCAGGUGGUCGAUUUCAAAGGUCUGCUUUGUCAGCAUCUUUGAUAAAUCAAAGUAUUCAAUUAGGUACCUCUGGCAAAAUUCUGACGUUUUUGUAGGACGUGGUGCAAUUUCCUUUUAAAGGGAAAUUUAAUGAAACCUAUAGGUCUUGUAGUUUAACAAAUGAACAAAGAAUUUUUACUACAGAGUCAGCCGUUCUAGCAAAACCGUAGAUAAUAGUUUUGGUGUUCUUUGUAAUAGAUUCCGUAUGUUACAAGACAUAAUAAAUGUCGACGUUGAAAAAGUUUGUACAAUUACAAAGGUAUGUUGCAUUUUACAGAAUUACCUUUUAAAAACCUCUUCAGUAUAUGCUGAAAACCAGGAUAAUGAAGAUUGCACUACAAAUGCCAAUUUUAGAACAUUUUACUGCUUUGUAGUAAGUCUUAGUUUAUUACAAUAAACAUAUUACAAUAAUAUUAUUAUAAAGUAUUAAUGGCGUAGGCGCAAAAUUUCGGCCCCAGUUCUUUUUAAAUGCAUUCAUUAUUUUCGAAUCUUGAGAAAACUAAUAACUAUUUUUGAAAAAUUUAAACGUAGAAUGAAAAAUACAUUAUUACAGAAAGUCGAAAGUCCCUUAGAAUACACAGUUUCUUUUGAAUGAGUUAUUUUAAAUUAAAAAUCAUACUCAAUUUUCUUUUUUUUUUCACCCUGUAACUUAUUAAAAUAAACAUAGAAGUUUGCAGGGACUUUCGGCCCUCGGUAAUAAUGUAAUCUUUCAUUCUGAGUUUAAAUCUUUCAAAAAUACUUAUUAGUGUUCUCAGAAUUCGAAAAAAACUAGUGCAGUUAAAAAAAAUUAACCCGAAAUUUUGCGUCUACCCCCUUAAAUAAAAACAGUUUAAUCUCAGACAGGCUUUUAUUUUGCACAUUGAAAGUAUUUACAAUUAACUACAUUCUAACUACAAAAUGAACACCUAUUUUCAUAAUUUGUACUCAAUUCUAAUAAAGUUUUGAAUAUGGUAUUGCAGUUGCACGUCCUUUGCCUUUUUGUCGGAAGACUCCGAAUCUCACUUGCAACAAAUUCGCUAAUGCCUUGUUGCCAGGGCCACCGAGAGGGCGGUACAGCCGGUACAUUUUACCGGGGCCCGGCGAUGUAAGGGGCCCGGCGUCGACCAGGCCAAUGACGUAAUUUUUCCCGUUUUUUUGCUCUUAACUUUAUGUCCAUAAUGCGUUUAAUUAGAUUAUAGAUACUCGGCUAUAUUUAAUAUUAUGACCUUUAAUCGAUUUUGUUUAAAAUUUUAACAGCAAUAAAUCACAGGAGUCAAAUUCUACAGUGCAGUCAGAUAAAAAUAUGGUAUAGAUAUGGAGAUUAAAAAUAUAUCAGGCUUCUAGAAUAUUUACAAAAAAUCAGAAGAAUCUAUAUUGGAGAAUCUAAAUUAGUUACCAGCAGUUAUGGAAUAAAUCCAGAAUUUACAUCAAAUAAAGAAAAA